Molecule: long non-coding RNA, 1665 nt
Organism: Canis lupus familiaris (dog)
Lineage: Eukaryota; Metazoa; Chordata; Mammalia; Carnivora; Canidae
Exons: 3
Source: RefSeq, a predicted model, not a curated record
CAGGGCUAGAAUCUCGGUGGGUCCUGCUUUGGGGGGUAAAAAUGGUUUUAGCCAAAGAGGGGGAUUCUCGAUCAUGUCCUGCCAGAUCAGGAUAUAGGGCACCUGGUCAGAGUGGCCGUCCGGUUUGUCCCUGAAGAUCACGGCCUUAACCUGUAAGAUAAUAGGUAGGUGAAAAGUUCCUUCUCGGGGCCAUCCCACGUCAAAGGUUGGCCAUUCUGACAUGCAAUAAAUUCGGAAUCUCUCUCUCCGUAUGUCUAUGCUCAGAAUACGAGCUCUUUCCCUAGCAUCCGAGAAGUGGGAGAGCAUAAGAGACAGGGGAGUGGUUUCUGUCUCCCCCAUUAUGUCCCCAAUCCACACCAAGACACACAGUAAAGACAAUUAACAAGGACACAACAACCCAGACAAAUGCAAAAAAAGUUAACAAGGACAUAGUAACACAGACCAACGUUCCAGUGCGGCCGCAGAGACAAAACAGAAAGCAACCCGAAGGGCUGGCAGCCCGUCCUCCUUACAGUUUAUGUCAAUACGUGUCUACUAAGCAUCAACCUUGUGCCGGGUUUAUAUGUUGGCCCUGAGAAGAAAGAAUCCCAGUCACUGUACUCAAGUUCCCAUUUGGCUGUUGGGGAAACAGAAUCUGGUGGUAUGCUGGCACAGGUCUUUCCACCAGCUCUCUGGAGAACAAACCAACCAACCCUGAUUUGUAGGGUCCACCAGUUUUCGUGGUAUAAACACUCCCGCCAUGGCUGAUUUCAAGCUACCAACAUGAUGUCACCAGACAUGGAGUUGGGAAGGGAUGUGCAGUGGCUCAGCAUCAUACAGUAUUUUUACAACACAGAGACAACCUCAAGAGCAUUGGUGAGAGUAAAAUGAAAUAAAUUUAUAGAAAUCGAUGACUUUGGAGUAUUUAUUACCUUUGAUUUUAAUAUCACUUAUUGAAUUGUAAGUUUAUAUAAUUUAAUUUCUAAUAGUGGCUGUUUUUAACAACCGGCUCACAAAAUGGAUUCCUGAAAAUUAACAAGCAGUGCUUUCAGGCAAGUAUCAAUCAAUGCCAGCACAUUGCUGCUACAGUCUCAUGACGGAUCAGGGAGACGAAGUGAGGUCUGGUAAAGGAGAGAGCUGAGUAUCCGUGGGCAAGUAACUUCUUGUCCUAGAGCUUCUUUGGUUUCUUAACCUGUAAAAUGGGGACAAGUAAUGUGUCUCCUAAGAAACUACGGAGUCUCAAUGUAACUAAUAAUGCUUGUAAAGCACCUGGCACUUGGUAAACAGCGGACAAGUAGAAAUCACCAGGCGUUAUAGUUAUUUUGAUAAUAAUCAACAUGGAUCCUACCCUUAAGAUAUUUAUGGUUUAGUGGAAGGAGGGGGCCAAUGAUAAGACCUACACAUGUUCAUAGGAUUCUGAUUCAGGCAGAAAAGGAAGCCUUCCUGGAGGAGGCUGCAUUUGAACGGAGUCUGGCAGAUUGGGUUCAGAAGGGGAGGCAUUCCUGAUUGAUGGUUCACCACAAGCAGAGGAUGGACCCAGGAUGCAGGGACAGUGCUAGAUGAGGCUGGGGGUGACAAAAGGAACAUAUAUGCCAAGACAAAGUCUGAAGUUUCCCCUGAGGGCAGUGGGGAGUCCCAGUGGCUCUUCAGCAGGGCCUGAGGGAAUCUGAUUGGCCUCUUGGAAUA